Molecule: ribosomal RNA, 373 nt
Filed under: uncultured bacterium
Lineage: Bacteria
Description: bacterial SSU rRNA
Rfam family: Bacterial small subunit ribosomal RNA
Source: RNAcentral
GACGAACGCUGGCGGCGUGCUUAACACAUGCAAGUCGAGCGGUAAGGCCCUUUUGGGGGUACACGAGCGGCGAACGGGUGAGUAACACGUGGGUGACCUGCCCUCAGCUCUGGGAUAAGCCUGGGAAACUGGGUCUAAUACUGGAUAUGACCUUUCCUCGCAUGGGGGUUGGGUGGAAAGUUUUUCGGCUGGGGAUGGGCCCGCGGCCUAUCAGCUUGUUGGGUGGGGUGAUGGCCUACCAAGGCGACGACGGGUAGCCGGCCUGAGAGGGCGACCGGCCACACUGGGACUGAGACACGGCCCAGACUCCUACGGGAGGCAGCAGUGGGGAAUAUUGCGCAAUGGGCGGAAGCCUGACGCAGCGACGCCGCGU